Molecule: ribosomal RNA, 253 nt
Filed under: uncultured bacterium
Lineage: Bacteria
Description: partial 16S ribosomal RNA
Rfam family: Bacterial small subunit ribosomal RNA
Source: RNAcentral
UACGUAGGGGGCAAGCGUUGUCCGGAUUUAUUGGGCGUAAAGAGCGUGUAGGCGGCCGCACAGGUCCGUUGUGAAAACUGGAGGCUUAACCUUCAGACGUCGAUGGAAACCGUGCGGCUAGAGUCCGGAAGAGGAGAAUGGAAUUCCUGGUGUAGCGGUGAAAUGCGCAGAUAUCAGGAAGAACACCUAUGGCGAAAGCAGCUCUCUGGGACGGUACUGACGCUGAGACGCGAAAGCGUGGGGAGCGAACAGG